AAACGACUCUCGGCAACGGAUAUCUCGGCUCUCGCAUCGAUGAAGAACGUAGCGAAAUGCGAUACUUGGUGUGAAUUGCAGAAUCCCGUGAACCAUCGAGUCUUUGAACGCAAGUUGCGCCCGAAGCCUUUAGGACGAGGGCACGCCUGCCUGGGCGUCACG
RNAcentral lists this ribosomal RNA (162 nucleotides) under Atriplex amnicola. RNAcentral's name for it is "5.8S ribosomal RNA". It matches the Rfam family "5.8S ribosomal RNA". Rfam says of the family: 5.8S ribosomal RNA (5.8S rRNA) is a component of the large subunit of the eukaryotic ribosome. It is transcribed by RNA polymerase I as part of the 45S precursor that also contains 18S and 28S rRNA. Lineage: Eukaryota; Viridiplantae; Streptophyta; Magnoliopsida; Caryophyllales; Amaranthaceae. The record is from RNAcentral.